RNAcentral lists this ribosomal RNA (1444 nucleotides) under uncultured organism. Its description in RNAcentral is "SSU rRNA". It matches the Rfam family "Bacterial small subunit ribosomal RNA". The record is from RNAcentral.
GCUUAACACAUACAAGUCGAGGGGCAGCAUGGUCUUAGCUUGCUAAGACUGAUGGCGACCGGCGCACGGGUGAGUAACACGUAUCCAACCUGCCGUCUACUCUUGGACAGCCUUCUGAAAGGAAGAUUAAUACAAGAUGGCAUCAUGAGUCCGCAUGUUCACAUGAUUAAAGGUAUUCCAGUAGACGAUGGGGAUGCGUUCCAUUAGAUAGUAGGCGGGGUAACGGCCCACCUAGUCUUCGAUGGAUAGGGGUUCUGAGAGGAAGGUCCCCCACAUUGGAACUGAGACACGGUCCAAACUCCUACGGGAGGCAGCAGUGAGGAAUAUUGGUCAAUGGGCGAGAGCCUGAACCAGCCAAGUAGCGUGAAGGAUGACUGCCCUAUGGGUUGUAAACUUCUUUUAUAAAGGAAUAAAGUCGGGUAUGGAUACCCGUUUGCAUGUACUUUAUGAAUAAGGAUCGGCUAACUCCGUGCCAGCAGCCGCGGUAAUACGGAGGAUCCGAGCGUUAUCCGGAUUUAUUGGGUUUAAAGGGAGCGUAGAUGGAUGUUUAAGUCAGUUGUGAAAGUUUGCGGCUCAACCGUAAAAUUGCAGUUGAUACUGGAUAUCUUGAGUGCAGUUGAGGCAGGCGGAAUUCGUGGUGUAGCGGUGAAAUGCUUAGAUAUCACGAAGAACUCCGAUUGCGAAGGCAGCCUGCUAAGCUGCAACUGACAUUGAGGCUCGAAAGUGUGGGUAUCAAACAGGAUUAGAUACCCUGGUAGUCCACACGGUAAACGAUGAAUACUCGCUGUUUGCGAUAUACGGCAAGCGGCCAAGCGAAAGCGUUAAGUAUUCCACCUGGGGAGUACGCCGGCAACGGUGAAACUCAAAGGAAUUGACGGGGGCCCGCACAAGCGGAGGAACAUGUGGUUUAAUUCGAUGAUACGCGAGGAACCUUACCCGGGCUUAAAUUGCAGAUGAAUUACGGUGAAAGCCGUAAGCCGCAAGGCAUCUGUGAAGGUGCUGCAUGGUUGUCGUCAGCUCGUGCCGUGAGGUGUCGGCUUAAGUGCCAUAACGAGCGCAACCCUUGUUGUCAGUUACUAACAGGUUCCGCUGAGGACUCUGACAAGACUGCCAUCGUAAGAUGUGAGGAAGGUGGGGAUGACGUCAAAUCAGCACGGCCCUUACGUCCGGGGCUACACACGUGUCACAAUGGGGGGUACAGAGGGCCGCUACCACGCGAGUGGAUGCCAAUCCCAAAAACCUCUCUCAGUUCGGACUGGAGUCUGCAACCCGACUCCACGAAGCUGGAUUCGCUAGUAAUCGCGCAUCAGCCACGGCGCGGUGAAUACGUUCCCGGGCCUUGUACACACCGCCCGUCAAGCCAUGGGAGCCGGGGGUACCUGAAGUGCGUAACCGCGAGGAGCGCCCUAGGGUAAAACUGGUGACUGGGGCUAAGUCAUAACAA